This 207-nucleotide ribosomal RNA is filed under the name uncultured bacterium. Its description in RNAcentral is "partial 16S ribosomal RNA". It matches the Rfam family "Bacterial small subunit ribosomal RNA", at positions 568 to 774 of the family's 1533-position model. The record is from RNAcentral.
CGCGCAGGCGGAUUAGCAAGUCAGAGGUGAAAUCCUACAGCUUAACUGUAGAACUGCCUUUGAAACUGUUAGUCUUGAGUACGGAAGAGAGAAGCGGAAUUCCAGGUGUAGUGGUGAAAUACGUAGAUAUCUGGAAGAACACCAGUUGCGAAGGCGGCUUCUUGGUCCGUUACUGACGCUGAGGCGCGAAAGCGUGGGGAGCAAACA